GGAAGCCCAUGUCUGUAGAUU
This 21-nucleotide microRNA is filed under the name Picea abies (Norway spruce). RNAcentral describes it as "pab-miR11478". The record is from miRBase by way of RNAcentral. Lineage: Eukaryota; Viridiplantae; Streptophyta; Pinopsida; Pinales; Pinaceae.